UGCCUCCUCAAUUGCAAGUCGCUUUGAAUAAAAGCGUCUGCUAAAUGACUAAAU
Danio rerio (zebrafish) is the source of this 54-nucleotide non-coding RNA. The record is from Rfam. NCBI's taxonomy places the organism in Eukaryota, Metazoa, Chordata, Actinopteri, Cypriniformes, Danionidae.